GACGAACGCUGGCGGCGUGCUUAACACAUGCAAGUCGAACGGAAAGGCCCUGCUUUUGUGGGGUGCUCGAGUGGCGAACGGGUGAGUAACACGUGAGUAACCUGCCCUUGACUUUGGGAUAACUUCAGGAAACUGGGGCUAAUACCGGAUAGGAGCUCCUGCUGCAUGGUGGGGGUUGGAAAGUUUCGGCGGUUGGGGAUGGACUCGCGGCUUAUCAGCUUGUUGGUGGGGUAGUGGCUUACCAAGGCUUUGACGGGUAGCCGGCCUGAGAGGGUGACCGGCCACAAUGGGACUGAGGUACGGGCCAGAAUCCUAAGGGAGGCAGCAGUGGGGAAUAUUGCACAAUGGGCGGAAGCCUGAUGCAGCAACGCCGCGUGCGGGAUGACGGCCUUCGGGUUGUAAACCGCUUUCGCCUGUGACGAAGCGUGAGUGACGGUAAUGGGUAAAGAAGCACCGGCUAACUACGUG
RNAcentral lists this ribosomal RNA (468 nucleotides) under uncultured bacterium. RNAcentral's name for it is "partial 16S ribosomal RNA". It matches the Rfam family "Bacterial small subunit ribosomal RNA", at positions 28 to 507 of the family's 1533-position model. The record is from RNAcentral.